CUUCCGUAGGGUGAACCUGCGGAAGGAUCAUUACCGAGUGAGGGGUCCUCUGGGCCCCAACUCCCAACCUUUGCGUACUUACCCUGUUGCUUUGGCGGGCCAGCGGCCUGAAAACCCGCCGUCGGCUCCGGCUGACGAGCGUCCGCCAGAGGACCUAAAAUCCUAUCUCAUCUGUGUCGUCUGAGCGUAAACUUAAAUAAGUAAAACUUUCAACAAUGGAUCUCUUGGUUCUGGCAUCGAUGAAGAACGCAGCGAAAUGCGAUAAGUAAUGUGAAUUGCAGAAUUCAGUGAAUCAUCGAAUCUUUGAACGCACAUUGCGCCCCUUGGUAUUCCGAGGGGCACGCCUGUUCGAGCGUCAUUACACACCUCAAGCAUCGCUUGGUGUUGGGCCUUCGUCCGCUCGGACGUGCCCGAAACUCCUCGGCGGCGGAGCCUUGCUUCAAGCGUAGUAAAAGAAAUCUUCUCUCGCUUUGGAAGUGGAGGCCUCGCCCGCCGGACGAACCCCAAUCUUCUUCAAGGUUGACCUCGGAUCAGGCGGGGAUACCCGCUGAACUUAAGCAUAUCAAUAAGCGGAG
Molecule: ribosomal RNA, 575 nt
Filed under: Dothideomycetes sp. CGMMCC 3.17065
Lineage: Eukaryota; Fungi; Ascomycota; Dothideomycetes
Description: eukaryotic LSU rRNA
Rfam family: 5.8S ribosomal RNA (bases 205-358)
Source: RNAcentral